Molecule: long non-coding RNA, 31159 nt
Filed under: Triticum aestivum (bread wheat)
Lineage: Eukaryota; Viridiplantae; Streptophyta; Magnoliopsida; Poales; Poaceae
Description: long non-coding RNA (TAES_LNC016160)
Source: RNAcentral
AUUUGGAGGAUGGUGACGAGGACUUGGUGCAGGAGCAACUACAUUCUGUUAGUGAUAUGAAAGGGAAGCAAGUGGUUGAAGAUUGUAACUCUGAAGAUGAGAAAUUAGAAGCUCCGGAAUCGGAUGAGGAUGAGAUGAAGUUCAAUUUCAAAUCUUUUACAGUCGAAGAUAUGCAUGAUUCAAAGUUCCAUGUGGGGCAACUAUUCUCAUCAGUUGAUUUGCUAAGAAGAGCAAUCAGAGAGUAUAGUGUGAAAGAGAGAGUGAGCAUCACAUUUCCCAAGAAUGAUAAAACUAGGAUUGGUGCUAAGUGUGAGGAUGGAUGUCCAUGGUAUCUUUAUGCCUCAUUGGACAAAAGGACAAAUUCAGUUAUGGUGAAAACCUUCAACGGUGUGCAUCAUUGUAGCAAGAAGUGGCAAGUGAGGGCAUUUACUGCCAAGUACAUUGCUAACAAGUAUGUGGAGAAAAUAAGAGCUAAUGAGAAGAUAACCUUGAAGGGAUUGGCAGCACUUGUGCAAGAAGACUGUAACAUGACAAUUAAAAGGGGGAAACUAGGGAGGGCCAGAGGACUAGCUUUUAAUAUUAUAUAUGGUGAUGAAAUAGCACAGUACAACAAGUUGUGGGACUAUGCAAAUGAGCUAAGGAGAUCCAAUCCAGGAAGUACAUUUUAUUUAGACCUUGAUGAAGAUGGUAAGUUUGAGAAAUGCUACUUUUCCUUUGAUGCUUGCAAGAGGGGCUUCCUAUCAGCUUGUAGGCCUAUUCUUUUCCUCGAUGGUUGUCAUUUGAAGACACAAUACGGAGGCAUCCUACUUAGUGCAGUAGGAAUGGAUCCCAACGAUUGCAUAAUUCCUAUUGCACAUGCGGUGGUUCAAAGAGAAGAUACAAAGGCUUGGAGGUGGUUCUUGACAGCUUUAAAGAAAGAUCUUGGUAUUGUGAGAAGUGCUCUUUGGACUAUCAUGUCCGACAAGCAAAAAGUGAGUGUGCCUUUGCUAUAUUUCAAAUUUCUCAUAUCGUACAAGGGCUAUUUGUAAAUAUUUAUUAAUGCUUGCUUUAUGAAUUUACUUAUGGCAGGGUCUAAUAAAGGCAGUGGGAGAAUUGUUCAAUGGUUCCCCACAUAGAUUUUGUGUCAGACAUCUUUGGCAGAAUUUCAACAAAAAUUUUAAAGGUGAGGCCCUCAAAAACCAACUCUGGAAAUGUGCUAGAAGUAGUACUGAAGGGAAAUUUAGACAGAAUAUGAAUGAAAUGUUGGUUCUAAACAAAGAGGCACAUGAUUGGCUAGAGGAGUUGGACCCUCCAACAUGGGUUAGGGCAUUUCAAAAUGAAUUUCCUAAGUGUGAUGUCUUGUUGAACAAUAACUGUGAGGUGUUUAACAAGUACAUAUUGGAUGCAAGAGAAAUGCCCAUAAUCAGCAUGUGCCAAAGGAUUAAAGGACAGUUGAUGGGAAGAAAUCAUAGCAAGCUACAAGAGGCCUUGAAGUGGCCUGGUACUAUAUGUCCAAAAAUAAGGAAGAAAUUGGACAAAAAUGUGGAAUUUGCUAGAACUUGCUAUGCUUCACCAGCUGGAUUGGGAAUCUUUAAUGUGAACGAUAGAGGCGUAGACUACGGGGUUGAUUACCAGUUGAGGAAGUGCAGCUGUAGGAGAUGGGAUUUGUCUGGCAUUCCAUGCAGCCAUGGAGUAGCUGCUCUUAGAUAUGACAACAUCAAUCCAGAGGAUUACGUCAACUCAUGCUAUUCUAUCGCAACAUAUUGCAAGGCAUAUGAAAACAUUAUUAUGCCAUGCAAAGAUAUUAGUGAGUGGAGUAAAAUGAAUGGCAGAACUAUCACACCACCACCAUUGGUAAAGCAGAAAGGAAGAAGGAGGAAGAACAGGAGAAAACAACCAGAAGAGAAACAGGGGGAAAAAGGAGUAAAAAUUACAAGGGCAGGAGCAAUAAUCCAUUGCGGUUAUUGUGGAGUUGCUGGCCAUAACAUUGGUGGGUGCAUGGACUUCAAGUUAGGGUUAAAACCAAAGAAAAAGUCUGUAAGGGUUAGAGUCAGGGCAGAGCCUGAUGUUUCCUCCUCAGAUGAGGAAGAAGCAACUGUAACCCAGGUGAGGCCCUAUAUCUAGCUGCAUGGACUUCAUUAUUUUAUUAGUUAUUUCUUUCAACAUGUGAAAAUUCUCCUAUUUUUACUGUUUGCAGGAACAGAAUCAGCGGACAGAAGGUUUAAUUCAAGAGCCACUAUGUGUGUAUCAGCCUAAGAUAAUUACUAUUUUAACACAAGAGGUACUUACAAUAAUUUGUUUUCAUUACACAUAACUAGUUCAUGUACAAAUGUUUCAUGUCUGAUCCUAAAUUUGUGUUCUAUAUCAGAGAGAAGCAAGCCAGAGGGAAGCAAGCCAGAGGGAAGCAGUUCGUCAAGGUCCAUUACCAAAUUCCGUUUUCAUAGAGGAGCACAUCAUGUCUCAGCCACCGGUUGUCCCUACUACUGCAACGAAGGAGGGCAACGUUCACAGGAAAAGAGAGAUUCUAGCACUGGCAAAGUUAAGAGCUGCAGCUGAGAAAAGAGAAGUUGCAGACCAAGCAAAGUUUGAAGCAGCUAUGGCAAAGUUGAAAGAAGAAGAGGACAAAAUUAAGCUUGCGGCUCAAAAGAGAAAGGAAGAGUUGGAAGCUAAGAAACAAGCAGCUGAGGAAAAGAAAAAAGCUAUACUAGAGGAGAAGAGACUUGCUGCAGAAGAAAAGAGAAGAGCUAUUGAGGAAAAAAAGAGAAAGGCCCAAGAGGAGAAACUUCAAAUGGCAGAGAAGAAAAGGCAAAUGAUGGAUGAGAGAAAAAGAAAUGCCGAGUUAGCAAAGGAAAAAAAGGCCGAAGAGAAGAGAAGGAUUGCACAGGAGAAAAAAAUGCUUGCAAAUACAUCACACCAGCAGGAGGAGGCAGCUUUUCUAAUACAUCAAGCAGAGGAGUUUGAGAGGCAGGAGGGUUGGAGAAUUUUUAAAGAGGCUAAGGAAGCUGCUAGGCAAAAAGCUUGGGAGCAGCAGAAUAAUCAGCAAGGCGCAGCAAGGAAUGAAGAAUGGGAGCUGCGAAAGAGGAGAGCUGAAGAAACAAACAAGAAAGCCAUGGAGGACCAAAUGGUCGAUCAAGCAAUGAAGCAUGUCAUGCUGGAGGAACAAUUGCAAGAACGAGCUGCAACAACUAGUUCAAGAGUUGAGGAGGCAAGGUUUAAUCCAUGCCCAGUUGAAGGAAACAAGACAAAGAAAAAAAUCUGCACCUACCAAUCAGAACAUGACAUGUUUUAAGAAACCUAGAAAGGUUAACAUGUUCGAUGAAUUUAGGUGAAGGGAUGUCAAGUUGGAAAUGAUAUUCAUAUCUUUUUGUGUUUCUGCUUAUGAUCAGGUGCAGAACUUGUAGUGGCAAUGUUUUGCUUAUGAUCAUUGUGCUGAUCAUGAAGUGCAAGAGGUGUCUUUUCAUUAGGAAACUACUAUUGCAGACCUUAAUUACUCAGAUUUUGAACUUAAGUACUAUUUAUUUUCAUUCAACAAAUGCUCUAUAUUUUAAAUAAUGCACUGUUUAUUUUCAUGUGUCAUUAGCAAUUGGUCUUCAUGUGCCAUUAUGAGUUGAGAAAGUGUUGUUCAUUUUCAGCACUAUUAUUCAAGUUGUAUGCAAACCAAAAUGCAACCAACACUGUUGAUUUUGUUUCAGAAUUUACAUUCAGCCAAAGAACUAUUCAUUUUCAGGUGCAAUUUUGUAUUGAUUCACUACAUAGCAACAAGAUACACAAGUACAUGCUCUUGAUGAACAUAGAAACAGGACACACAGUUGAUGAACUUGUCAUCAAGCAUCACGGCGACAAUGGGUUCGAGUGAGGUCCUCCCCUUCUCCUGACAUGAACCAAAACAGGAUAAAUCAACGUCUUUUUGGUCCUCGGCGACAAUGGACCGUCCGCACUCCAGCAUCUCAAGCUCUCCGUACGAAUGCACUUGUCCAGUCAACAAGCAACCUGGAUGCUGACCUCUGACGGCAGGACGCCGCAAUUAUCUCCAUGGCCGCCAAAAGCGGAAGGGCGUCACAGCCGUCGGGAGCAGCACGUGACCGCGAUAGCGAGCGUCCAGCUCAUCCAUGGAAGCCGUCCGCUGGAGGAGAACCUGGCAAGUCUCCGGUCGAAGACAAGGCUGUCCAUGGCGCCAGACCUUCUUCAGUAACCACGGCCGGCGACGGGCGGUGGAGCCAUGGCCAGCGACGGGCAGGGCAGCGGCCACGCCUGAGACCGACGGGGGAGAGAAGACGAGGCUGCCUCCCUUGCCUGAGACCAAGCUCACGGCCACGCUUGCGCCACCCAUGGCUGCCAGCAGUACGUACUGCGGCGGGGAUUUAGUCGAAGGAGUGUGGUCGGCGGCAGGGAUUUGGUUUAGCGCCCGCUAGCUGCUGGGAGUGUGGCGAGAGGUAGGGAUUUGAGAGCGAAUUGGGGAUUUCUGCCCACCGGUGACUAGUCAACUAACUAGUGGGCCCUACAAACGGACGACGUGGCCGACCCAAUACGCCUCUGUACAAUGAUUUCGUAUGCUGCACGUACGCCAGGACCGCAGGACCAAAAUGGAGGACCGUAUUGGCACUGUAUAGACGAGUAUUAGGACUGUAAUGAUGCAGUUACAGAGUUUGAGGACCGUUUUGGUCCUAACCAGCAAGUUUAGGGUGCACUGAUGCAUUUUACUCCGCUCUGCCUCCUCCUCGAUGCGUGAUGGCCUGGAUGACGACAAUGCAGCAUGAGGGAGGAGGCGGAGGAGAUGCGUCAUCGAUGUGAGGGAAGGGGCUUGUGCCUAGCUCUUCUCCCCUUUCCUUCGGGUCUCAGUUUGCUCUCCUCACUUGUUCUUCCUGCUGUUCUGGUUCGUGUCCAGCAAGUGUUGGGGUUAUUUGCUUCUAGAAUCGGAGCAGCGGGUUAUGAUGGCUCUGUUGUGCCAUGACACUGGUUAAUGCUAUUUCUUUUGCCGUCCUUCCACGAGUUUUGAUCUGGGUUUGCAUGCAGGUCACUUGUUCUCGCGUCACUAUGAUGGAUCUGUUGCUGAGACUCGAUCUGUAGGUAUGUGUAUUUUUUCCUAGUUCUUGGUCAUCGCCUGCUGCUUGUCCGUGAUUUUUUGUUUGAUUUUGUUGCGGAUUCGUUAGCUGCUCGUUCGAUAUGUGCCUUCGCCUCGUGUCCCUGCUGCUGCUUUGUUCACUGAUAUGUAGGUUGAUCCCUCUUCCCCUCCUCCCCUCUAUUUGCCUUCUCCGUUAGGCCUAGGUUCUUGUUCUUACAAUGGUGAGCCACUGCUCAUGGUCAUGUGCAAAUUGGCCAAUGAGUGCCUUUUGUUCUUGUUUUAUUCCUAACUAGAUUAUCGGUGGCGCGUUGCUGGACCCAUCUAUUUUGACAAUAAAUGAUAGGUGUUUAUGUAUUAUACAAAAACAAGCAACAUGAAAGUUAAAUUUUCAUAAACUUGCAUAUAUUGGUUAGGCUGGUCAUAGUGGGAGUAGCAUAGGUAGUAACAUAGAUGCCACAUAAGCAAAAUUGGUGAUGUGGCAAGUAGUUAAUGAGGAGAGAGGCAAAUAGAGUAACAUAAUAUGUUACCAUCACAUAGCGGUUUCCAAUGCAUAAUGAGUCUACAAAGUAAUAAAUAAAGGCAACUAUGUUACCACACCUAUGACACUACCCACUAUGAAGGUAAUAACAUAGACUAGUAACAUAUGUAUGUUACUAGUCUAAGUUACUCUCCACUAUGACCAGCCUUAGUAACAUAGGAGGUUAAGUUUGACUAUUUUUCAUAUAUACAUAUGGUGUAUCAUAUAAACUACAGGGAACUACUAAUUGCAGUUUCUUGCUUGGUAAUAUAAGAAAUUUCACUGCUUUGCAGACGGAUGUCGAUCCAGCCGAAGAUUUGUCUGAAAUAUAUGAAAAAUAGUACACUUGAAUAAUGAUUAACAAAUGUUGUUGCAGACAGCCAGAAAAUUAAUACUAUUUGGUAAUCAAAUUUAUAACGCGUAAUUUACGGGACGGCAUGCUCUAAGUUAAAAUUGGCUAGCAGUAGGAAAUUGUACCUUAACUCAAAGGUAAAUAUUAUUUAGGACAAGUAAACUGAACCAAAUUCCACCCCUCCUUUUCACAGAAUCAUCAAGCACUCCAUGCUUUGGUGCUUAGAAAAUGAUAAUUGUGCCUACAGUUCUAAUUCUAAACAUGUCAACACAACAUUCAAUUGAUGGAAAACCAAAUCAUUGUCUAUAUUAUUCACAUAUAAUACAGUACAAAAUGUAGAUGAUAUUGUUAAAGCAUUGUCUAUCCUUUCACGUGACACGUUAUUCCAAUAUAUAUAAUAUAUAUCAUACUAUGAAACAGGGAGUGAACGGUCUUGUCCAUUAAAAACGAUUACUUUUGUCUUGGAAGAGGACAAGAACAUAGAUUAGUGUUUUUUUUGGCUUGUUGGUGCUUACUUCCAAGUCCAAUAAGGCACUGUAAGAAAUGUACAAGUAGCUAACAAAACAAAAAAAUAUCUCACCAAAACCAUUGAUGGAUAACUCAGGACAAACAAUUCAAUUUGAAAGGGCACGUCUAGCUAAACAGGUAAGAAAAUAUAAAUUUCAUAAUGCAUAAUCUUGAUGCACAAUAUUACAUUGUUAGGGAGAGAACUAUCAUGUUACAUCGUUGUGAGCUUUAGAAAAGAAGGAACGGUGAAGAUCCCCACAAACUUGACAUCUCAACACUUCAAAGGAAAAGAAGACACCCAAUACAGUGUCACAAAACCAAGGUAAGUCAGUUUUUGGAUAGAAAAAUAAAUAAAACCUAAAUAAUAAUUUGAUUCUAAAUUAAAGCUUACCAUGAUCUUAGUCAAGAACAUCAAGUUGAUACAACAGCUACUUACAAACAGGGCAGGACUCAUCCUCUAACUUUAUUGUGGAUGAAAUAAAUGCUCGUUGAUAGUACUGUCAUCAAUCUCCUGAAGGUCCCUUUUUGCCAUCUUUGAGCUUUCUGUCCCCAUAUUCUGUAUAGCUUUAAACUGAUUGUUUUUACAUACAAAUUAUGACAACUCAUUUCGCCUAAUAAACAGAUCAAACCAAGUUAUAACUGAAUUUGUAAUCGUGAAGAAACAUGAAGAAUUAGGGGGGCGGGUGUCAGCUUGACAUGAACAUGGAGUUGAAUUAGAUGCCCGAUGCAACAGAUCAACCUAAAAAGGCUUUGAGAAUCAAUCUGUAGUAUUGACCUUGCACUGUACAUGACCUUGCACAUGUUUUGGAUAUCAUAAAGCAAAAAAAUACAUACAUACAUGUACAUGAUCGUCGAUCUCCUCCUCGUCCUCCUGAUUUCUCCUCCUCACACACCUAGGGCAAAAUAUGAAUGAUGCAGGGCCGAAGUGUGUAUGCUCUAUGUUGUCUUGGACAGCAGCGUGCCUGAGACACUGAUUUAAUCAGCCUGCAGCCGGCAAGCAAGCUGACGAGCUGCCCUGAGCGGAGUUGCCCGAGGUAAGAUCGUGCAAGGUCGUUGUUCUUCGAGGACGAGAUUGGGGGAGACCUAACAAUAAGGACAAUAUAUUGCAACUGGCUAGCCUCCGCUUUUUCCCACUUUCUGAAUUCCGAUCCUCUGCUCCUCAUCCUCUCAUCUCCUCUUCCACCAACAUGGACACCAGAUCGAGUAAGUGGAUUGAUAGAGGCAAAGGUGUCCCGUCUUUCGAUGAGAUGGUGGAUUUCGCUUUGGUGGAAGUCGACUUUGACGAUCCGACUACGAACGUGCGAGGACGUCGCGCCUUAGCAAUCGCUAAACCAACUCCGAGAGGUUAUUGACCACGCCGGAGCACGAUCAACCUGACCACGAGGGUCUGUUUCCUGCGAGCAAACGAAGAACAAGCAAGAAACUAAGAUUGCAAUCUGGAUAUUGCGAAUAUAAGAUGAAAGCUUUAUUGAUCAAGGUGGGGUUCUGUGACGCCUUUGUCUGGUCGUUGAACGCAAACGAAGUACGCGAAGUUGCAGCUAUGGCGAACUUUUAAUCUAAACAAAACCCAAAGUCUAAACGAUGCCCUAAGGGCUGUAUAUAUGGAGGAAGAGGGGGGUAAUUUCGUGGCCCUUGGUGGAGGAGUCCGAAAUCAACCCUAUCUCUUGUUUCCCCACACAUACGGACUCUAAAAAUAGCCUAUACUUAUGUGUUUCGAAAUUACAUGGGCCUGGCCCAAUAAUAAGGUGACGCAGCACCUAAAAUAGCCUCGGGACGAGAUUUAUGAAGUGGCAUCUUGUAUAUUUCGUCCAAGGCUUCAUGCACCCAUUAUGGUGGCUUCAAAGUCCUGAAAUCAUCACUUGUAACUCCGUUCUUGUUCCCCUUGCGCAUGCCAUCAUCUCCAUGCUUGUUCUUGCUCCAAUGUUCAUCCUUCUCCAAGCUAGGCCCUUCAUUUGUAAGCAAAACAAAUGUAUCCAAUUUAGGCAGCAUCAUAUUCUCAUGAACAUUAGAAUCAUUACCAAGAAACGAAAGUACCUGGUAAUUUAGUUGGCGUGCACGAGCUCUAGUAAUUGGUCCAGUAUGUAUAGCAGCAGGGGCUAUGGGUGUAACAAUUGUAUUGAUGUCCUCAUCAUCCUCCCCUUCUUGAAAUGAAGUCGUCCUCGAUGGAAGUUCAUCUUCCUCACCCAAAUAAGGCUUCAAAUCUGCAAUGUUAAAAGUGGGACUAACCCCAAAAUCUGCAGGCAGCUCAAGUUUAUAUGCAUUAUCAUUUAUUUUCUCUAACACCUUAAAGGGACCAUCUGCACGUGGCAUUAGCUUUGAUUUGCGCAAAUCAGGAAAUCUAUCCUUACGCAAAUGUAACCAAACAAGAUCUCUAGGUGCAAACACAACAUGUUUUCUACCCUUAUCUCCAGCAAGUUUAUAUUUAGCAUUCAUACGCUCAAUGUUUUCCUUAGUUAACUCAUGCAUUUUUAAAAUCAAUUCAGCACGUUGUUUAGCAUCAAAAUUAACCUUCUCCGAAGAUGGAAGAGGCAACAAAUCAAUAGGUGCACGAGGUAGGAAACCAUACACAACUUCAAAAGGGCACAUCUUAGUAGUAGAAUGCAAUGAACGAUUAUAAGCAAAUUCAAUAUGAGGCAAGCAUUCCUCCCACAUUUUCUUAUUAUUCUUCAAAACAGCCCUAAGCAUAGUAGACAACGUUCUAUUGACUACUUCAGUUUGUCCAUCAGAUUGGGGGUGACAAGUAGUACUAAAAAGCAGUUUAGUCCCCAACUUAGCCCAUAAACAUCUCCAAAAGUGGCUAAGAAAUUUAGUAUCACGAUCUGAAACAAUAGUAUUUGGCACACCAUGCAAGCGAAUAAUUUCACGAAAGAACAAAUCAGCAACAUUAACAGCAUCAUCGCUUUUAUGACAUGGUAUAAAGUGUGCCAUUUUCGAGAAUCUAUCCACGACAACAAAAAUGCUAUCCCUCCCCUUCUUUGUUCGAGGUAAACCUAAAACAAAGUCCAUAGAUAUAUCCUCCCAAGGAACACUAGGUACAGGCAAAGGCAUAUAUAAACCAUGAGGAUUGAGUCGUGACUUAGCUUUUUGACAUGUAGUGCAGCGAGCAAUAAAACGCUCAACAUCCCGUCUCAUCUUUGGCCAAAAGAAAUGUGUAGCAAGUACGUCCUCCGUCUUCUUCACGCCAAAGUGUCCCAUUAAUCCUCCUCCAUGCGCCUCCUGCAACAACAAAAGACGAACGGAGCUAGCUGGAAUGCAUAGCUUGUUAGCACGAAACACAAAUCCAUCGUUAACAACAAACUUGUUCCAGAUUCUUCCUUCUUUACAAUUCUGCAUUACAUCUUUAAAAUCAGCAUCAUGCACAUAUUGAUCUUUGAUGGUCUCCAAACCAAAUAUUUUGAAGUCAAGUUGUGAAAGCAUAGUAUAGCGACGAGACAAUGCAUCAGCAAUAACAUUUUCUUUUCCCUUCUUGUGUUUAAUGACAUAAGGGAAAGUCUCAAUGAAUUCAACCCAUUUAGCAUGUCUACGAUUCAGUUUAGCUUGACUUUUAAUAUGUUUCAAAGAUUCAUGAUCAGAAUGUAUAACAAAUUCUUUGGGCCAUAAAUAAUGUUGCCAUGUUUUUAAAGUCCGAACAAGAGCAUAUAAUUCUUUAUCAUAAGUAGAAUAAUUCAGACUAGGCCCACUCAAUUUUUCAGAAAAGUAUGCAACAGGUUUGCCAUCUUGUAAUAACACACCUCCUAAUCCAAUUCCACUAGCAUCACAUUCAAGCUCAAAAGUCUUAUUAAAAUCAGGAAGUUGGAGUAAAGGAGCAUGUGUCAACUUAUCUUUCAAUACCGUGAAGGCUUCUUCCUGUGCGGUACCCCAAACAAAAGGCACAUCCUUCUUUGUAAGCUCAUUGAGAGGUGCAGCAAUGGUGCUGAAAUCUCUCACAAAACGCCUAUAGAAUCCAGCGAGGCCAAGAAAACUCCUCACUUGUGUGACCGUUUUGGGCUGCGGCCAACUCUCAAUAGCUUCAAUCUUGGCUUUAUCAACUUCAAUUCCCUGUGGAGUAACAACAUAGCCAAGAAAAGAUACUCGAUCGGUGCAAAAGGUGCACUUCCCAAGGUUGCCUCAAACGUGGAAUAGGAUAUAAUCUACAAUGUUCAGACCACCAUACACAUGCAAAACUAGUGAAAGCACAAACAGCAGCAGCAACUCGUCUCUCCUCAGGAUAUUGUAAACAUGUAAAUCGUUGUUCAGUUUCUAACUCCCAAGUAAGAUAUAUAUCAGGAACAUAUCUACCCUCAAAUGGUGGAAUAUUCAAUUUCAGUUUAGGAAUAUGGACAUCAUCGCGUACCUGAGGUGGUGGUGCAGGCCUACCAAUCGUUGAAGGCUUUUUGUUUGGUAACCUUGGGAAGUGCACCUUUUGCACCGAUCGAGUAUCUUUUCUUGGCUAUGUUGUUACUCCACAGGGAAUUGAAGUUGAUAAAGCCAAGAUUGAAGCUAUUGAGAGUUGGCCGCAGCCCAAAACGGUCACACAAGUGAGGAGUUUUCUUGGCCUCGCUGGAUUCUAUAGGCGUUUUGUGAGAGAUUUCAGCACCAUUGCUGCACCUCUCAAUGAGCUUACAAAGAAGGAUGUGCCUUUUGUUUGGGGUACCGCACAGGAAGAAGCCUUCACGGUAUUGAAAGAUAAGUUGACACAUGCUCCUUUACUCCAACUUCCUGAUUUUAAUAAGACUUUUGAGCUUGAAUGUGAUGCUAGUGGAAUUGGAUUAGGAGGUGUGUUAUUACAAGAUGGCAAACCUGUUGCAUACUUUUCUGAAAAAUUGAGUGGGCCUAGUCUGAAUUAUUCUACUUAUGAUAAAGAAUUAUAUGCUCUUGUUCGGACUUUAGAAACAUGGCAACAUUAUUUAUGGCCCAAAGAAUUUGUUAUACAUUCUGAUCAUGAAUCUUUGAAACAUAUUAAAAGUCAAGCUAAACUAAAUCGUAGACAUGCUAAAUGGGUUGAAUUCAUUGAGACUUUCCCUUAUGUCAUUAAACACAAGAAGGGAAAAGAAAAUAUUAUUGCUGAUGCAUUGUCUCGUCGCUAUACUAUGCUUUCACAACUUGACUUCAAAAUAUUUGGUUUGGAGACCAUCAAAGAUCAAUAUGUGCAUGAUGCUGAUUUUAAAGAUGUAAUGCAGAAUUGUAAAGAAGGAAGAAUGUGGAACAAGUUUGUCGUUAACGAUGGAUUUGUGUUUCGUGCUAACAAGCUAUGCAUUCCAGCUAGCUCCGUUCGUCUUUUGUUGUUGCAGGAAGCGCAUGGAGGAGGAUUAAUGGGACAUUUUGGCGUGAAGAAGACGGAGGACGUACUUGCUACACAUUUCUUUUGGCCAAAGAUGAGACGGGAUGUUGAGCGUUUUAUUGCUCGAUGCACUACAUGUCAAAAAGCUAAGUCAUGACUCAAUCCUCAUGGUUUAUAUAUGCCUUUGCCUGUACCUAGUGUUCCUUGGGAGGAUAUAUCUAUGGACUUUGUUUUAGGUUUACCUCGAACAAAGAAGGGGAGGGAUAGCAUUUUUGUUGUCGUGGAUAGAUUCUCGAAAAUGGCACACUUUAUACCAUGUCAUAAAAGCGAUGAUGCUGUUAAUGUUGCUGAUUUGUUCUUUCGUGAAAUUAUUCGCUUGCAUGGUGUGCCAAAUACUAUUGUUUCAGAUCGUGAUACUAAAUUUCUUAGCCACUUUUGGAGAUGUUUAUGGGCUAAGUUGGGGACUAAACUGCUUUUUAGUACUACUUGUCACCCCCAAACUGAUGGACAAACUGAAGUAGUCAAUAGAACGUUGUCUACUAUGUUUAGGGCUGUUUUGAAGAAUAAUAAGAAAAUGUGGGAGGAAUGCUUGCCUCAUAUUGAAUUUGCUUAUAAUCGUUCAUUGCAUUCUACUACUAAGAUGUGCCCUUUUGAAGUUGUGUAUGGUUUCCUACCUCGUGCACCUAUUGAUUUGUUGCCUCUUCCAUCUUCGGAGAAGGUUAAUUUUGAUGCUAAACAACGUGCUGAAUUGAUUUUAAAAAUGCAUGAGUUAACUAAGGAAAACAUUGAGCGCAUGAAUGCUAAAUAUAAACUUGCUGGAGAUAAGGGUAGAAAACAUGUUGUGUUUGCACCUGGAGAUCUUGUUUGGUUACAUUUGCGUAAGGAUAGAUUUCCUGAUUUGCGUAAAUCAAAGUUAAUGCCACGUGCUGAUGGUCCCUUUAAGGUGUUAGAGAAAAUAAAUGAUAAUGCAUAUAAACUUGAGCUGCUUGCAGAUUUUGGGGUUAGUCCCACUUUUAACAUUGCAGAUUUGAAGCCUUAUUUGGGUGAGGAAGAUGAACUUCCGUCGAGGACGACUUGAUUUCAAGAAGGGGAGGAUGAUGAGGACAUCAAUACAAUUGUUACACCCACAGCCCCUGCUGCUAUACAUACUGGACCAAUUACUAGAGCUCGUGCACGCCAACUAAAUUACCAGGUACUUUCGUUUCUUGGUAAUGAUUCUAAUGUUCAUGAGAAUAUGAUGCUACCUAAAUUGGAUACAUUUGUUUUGCUUACAAAUGAAGGGCCUAGCUUGGAGAAGGAUGAACAUUGGAGCAAGAACAAGCAUGGAGAUGAUGGCAUGCGCAAGGGGAACAAGAACGGAGUUACAAGUGAUGAUUUCAGGACUUUGAAGCCACCAUAAUGGGUGCAUGAAGCCUUGGACGAAAUAUACAAGAUGCCACUUCAUAAAUUUCGUCCCGAGGCUAUUUUAGGUGCUGCGUCACCUUAUUUUUGGGCCAAGCCCAUGUAAUUUCGAAAUACAUAAGUAUAGGCUAUUUUUAGAGUCCGUAUGUGUGGGGAAACAAGAGAUAGGGUUGAUUUCGGACCCCUCCACCAAGGGCCACGAAAUUCCCCCCUCUUCCUCCAUAUAUACAGCCCUUAGGGCAUCGUUUAGACUUUGGGUUUUGUUUAGAUUAAAAGUUCGCCAUAGCUGCAACUUCGCGUACUUCGUUUGUGUUCAACGACCAGACAAAGGCGUCACAGAACCCCACCUUGAUCAAUAAAGCUUUCAUCUUAUAUUCGCAAUAUCCAGAUUGCAAUCUUAGUUUCUUGCUUGUUCUUCGUUUGCUCGCAGGAAACAGACCCUCGUGGUCAGGUUGAUCGUGCUCCGGCGUGGUCAAUAACCUCUCGGAGUUGGUUUAGCGAUUGCUAAGGCGCGACGUCCUCGCACGUUCGUAGUCGGAUCGUCAAAGUCGACUUCCACCAAAGCGAAAUCCACCAUCUCAUCGAAAGACGGGACACCUUUGCCUCUAUCAGCCUCUUUGCACACAAAAGCAUAGCAAACAGAUUUGCUGAAAUCUAGCUCAUCAAUAUCAGAUUUGGUGGCAAAUAAACAUGCACUUUUCAAUUUAAUUUCUGAAGCAACACUAGAUGGUUUAUUAUUAGGCUUCAUUUGUUGCUCAAAUUCUUUUGCCACAAUCUGAUUUUCACUCUUAUUCGUCUCCUGUUUUGCUUUAUUAGCUCUAUUAGUAUCAUCUUUCAAAAUGGAAUCAGGAGUCAUAGGAAGCAAAGUAAUAUUUUUAUCCUUAUGAACAAGAGUAUAGUGAUUGUUUCUACCAUGGUGUACAGAAUUUUUAUCAAAUUGCCAUGGUCUACCAAGUAAUAAGGAACAUGCUUGCAUAGGUACCACAUCACAAUCAACAUAAUCAGCAUAUGUAGAGAUACUAAAAUGCACACGAACAGUACGUGUUACCUUAACCUUGCCGCUGUUGUUGAACCAUUGGAUGUAGUAAGGAUGUGGAUGUGGUCUUGUGGUGAGAGAAAGCUUCUCCACCAUCUCCAUGCUAGCCAAGUUGUUGCAGCUCCCUCCGUCUAUUAUGACGCGCACAGAACGUUCCUUCACAACUCCCUUGGUAUGGAACAAAUUGUGCCUCUGAUUUUGCUCAGCUUGUGUGACCUGCACACUCAAAACACGUUGAGCAACUAAACAUUCAUACCCGUCAGCGUCUUCAGGAGCCAUGUAUUGCGUCUCAUGAUCAGAAUCAUCUCCACCAUGUUCUUCACGUGUAAUAAGGGCCAAUGUCUCCUCAUCAUAGUCACUAGCGGACUCAUAUCCACCAUCCGCGGUAGCAAUCAUCACACGCGGAGAUUUGCAUUCCCUCGCAUAAUGACCUCCUCCCUUACAACGACGACAAAUAAUAUCACUUGUGUGCCCUGUUGAUGCCAUGGAAGAAGAAGAAUGCUGUGCAGGCCCCGCAGGUGCGCUCUUGGCAGAUAAUGGUGGUUGUGCCUGUUUUCUUGUAUCACGGCUGGAGGUGGCACCGGAUGGAGGUGCUGGUGCAGUUGAAGUAGAAGAUGCACGUGGUGUCCAUGAUGAAGGUCGGCCUGCAGAAAAGUUAGUUCGCCCCAAUGCUUGUCGAUCCUGCACUUCACGUUCAGCUUUACAAGCAAGAUGGAAUAAACGAGUGAUAUUAGUAUACUCCUUAUAGUCUAGAAUGGUCUGAAUCUCUCUAUUUAAUCCAACCAGAAAACGUGCAAGCAUAGCUUCAUUCUCCUCAACAAUACCACAUCUAAUCAUGCCAGUUUGUAAUUCCUGAUAAUAUUCUUCUACAGAAUUUUUCCCUUGUCUUAAACGCUGCAAUUUUUGAAGCAAUUCACGUUGAUAAUAUGGUGGAACCCAACGUGUACGCAUAGCAGUUUUCAAAGCAGCCCAAGUAGUUGGAAUAGGAUAUAAUCUACAAUGUUCAGACCACCAUACGCAUGCAAAACUAGUGAAAGCACAAACAGCAGCAGCAACUCGUCUCUCCUCAGGAUAUUGUAAACAUGUAAAUCGUUGUUCAGUUUCUAACUCCCAAGUAAGAUAUAUAUCAGGAACAUAUCUACCCUCAAAUGGUGGAAUAUUCAAUUUCAGUUUAGGAAUAUGGACAUCAUCGCGUACCUGAGGUGGUGGUGCAGGCCUACCAUUACGAAUAUAUACCUGAGGUCGACCUGUUGGUGGUGGUACAGGUGGCUGCACGUAGUGUUGAUUUUGAUCAACCUCAUCCUCAUAAUCUCCCACAUAAUCAUCCUCCUCCGCAUCAGCAGCAGGAGCCACAGAAGUAUCAACAGCAGCACCAACAGUUUGGCCAAACGCAAGAGGAACACGGCUUGCUCGGCGGAGGUCUGCUUCGCGACGUGGAGGUAGUCGUUGUUGUUGUUGUUGGAGAGGUGCGUUAGGUGCAGCGGUUGGUGGUGGUGGAAGACGCGCGAGCAAUUCAUUAAACUUGUUAUCGAGCUUUGUUUCGAACGUCUUCUCAAGGCCAGUGAUCUUCUCCAUGGCCUCUUCAAAAUUGUUCAGCACAUCUUGCACCUGUUCAGUCAUCAUUUGCUGAAACUUAUCAUGAAGCUCCUUGUUCGAUAAAUUCUCCCAGUCAAUCUCGUCGGCUUGUGAUCCUGGCAUGGUUAGCAGCAAUAGAAACACACAAGAAUAUGAUCCUACAGACUACGAACAAGUGGUGGUGGUGGGUGUCACAAAUCCGUCAAGCAAAUCUCAAAUUCUUACCAGUUCUUACCCAGCAGCAGGCGGUGAUCGGCAACCGUUGUAGUCAAAAACUCUCAAAGCUUGGAUAGAGCGAUUACCAGGGAGAUUCAAACGCACGACGUAGAUGUAUGUGGAGCUGGGAAGGCUUAUAAUAUGGUAGCAAAAAGGGUCAGCAAUAAUCAAUUCAGAGAUGCAAAGUUGAAUAAACGCUCAACGACGGUACUGUGCUGGUCCUAGGCUAGACUGUGCUAGAGACGCGAGCCUAGAACACUAACAAAAUCACGGCGAGGCACGUAAACAAGGGAAAAGCACACUCUGGAUUUUUUUUCGCUCUUUUUUUCUUUCUUUUUUGCGCUCUUUUUUUUUGCGCUGCUUUUUUUUGCGAAAAAUCACUAUAAUGGCGAGUGUCUCAAAACUCUUCUUAGCUCAAACUGACAGGAUGGGCAAGAAAUUUUUUCGACCAAUUUUUUUUUUGACUGCCCGGACCCAAAAACUGGAAACGGGUCAAAAAAAACUUCCUAUAUUGGCACCUAUCUCAAAACACUCAGAAACACCUAAAAAUAGGAUAGCCAGAUUUUUUUUCGAAAAAUGCGUUUUCGAAAAUUUUUGGGCCUAAACGGAGCGUGGCUACCCGACUCUUUUUUUUUCCGAAACCUACUCCGGCAAGGAAACACGAAUCAGAAACUAGAUGGAUCUCGAAAACAACCCUAAUAAGCAAGGAACUCGGAUUGGUGGUGGAUAUAUGGUGGUGGUAUAUGGCAGCGGUGGUGGUAGCGGUGGUAGUAUAUGGAUAUGGAUCGGUGGUGGUAUAUGGACACGGAUUGGUGGUGGUAUAUGGAUACGGAUUCGGAGCGGUGGCGGAUAAGCGGUGGUGGUAGAUGGCAGGGGCGAUGAUGAUGGUGCGGCGGCGGCGUGACAACUUAUGACCAGAACUCGAAACUCUAAAAGACUAGACUCUAAGACCAGCAACUAGACACGACGAUGCAACCGCAAAUUCAACAAAGCAAAACCCUAAAAAGAUUAUGCAAAGGCUCAGAUUGGUUCGGAUAUGAUGAACUAACCCUAAUUUUUUUUGUGGCUUUUUCGUGGACUAUAGGUAUGAAGAACAGACUCGAUCUAAACUACGAAAAACUGUAAAAUCUCACCGAGCAACCUGGAAAUCUGAUACCACUUGAUAGAGGCUAAGGUGUCCCGUCUUUCGAUGAGAUGAUGGAUAUCGCUUUGGUGGCAGUCGACUUUGACGAUCCGAUUACAAACGUGCGAGGACGUCGCGCCUUAGCAAUCGCUAAACCAACUCCGAGAGGUUAUUGACCACGCCGGAGCACGAUCAACCUGACCACGAGGGUCUGUUUCCUGCGAGCAAACGAAGAACAAGCAAGAAACUGAGAUUGCAAUCUGGAUAUUGCGAAUAUAAGAUGAAAGCUUUAUUGAUCAAGGUGGGGUUCUGUGACGCCUUUGUCUGGUCGUUGAACACAAACGAAGUACGCGAAGUUGCAGCUAUGGCGAACUUUUAAUCUAAACAAAACCCAAAGUCUAAAUGAUGCCCUAAGGGCUGUAUAUAUGGAGGAAGAGGGGGGAAUUUCGUGGCCCUUGGUGGAGGGGUCCGAAAUCAACCCUAUCUCUUGUUUCCCCACACACACGGACUCUAAAAAUAGCCUAUACUUAUGUAGUUCGAAAUUACAUGGGCCUGGCCCAAUAAUAAGGUGACGCAGCACCUAAAAUAGCCUCGGGACGAAAUUUAUGAAGUGGCAUCUUGUAUAUUUCGUCCAAGGCUUCAUGCACCCAUUAUGGUGGCUUCAAAGUCCUGAAAUCAUCACUUGUAACUCCGUUCUUGUUCCCCUUGCGCAUGCCAUCAUCUCCAUGCUUGUUCUUGCUCCAAUGUUCAUCCUUCUCCAAGCUAGGCCCUUCAUUUGUAAGCAAAACAAAUGUAUCCAAUUUAGGCAGCAUCAUAUUCUCAUGAACAUUAGAAUCAUUACCAAGAAACGAAAGUACCUGGUAAUUUAGUUGGCGUGCACGAGCUCUAGUAAUUGGUCCAGUAUGUAUAGCAGCAGGGGCUGUGGGUGUAACAAUUGUAUUGAUGUCCUCAUCAUCCUCCCCUUCUUGAAAUGAAGUCGUCCUCGACGGAAGUUCAUCUUCCUCACCCAAAUAAGGCUUCAAAUCUGCAAUGUUAAAAGUGGGACUAACCCCAAAAUAUGCAGGCAGCUCAAGUUUAUAUGCAUUAUCAUUUAUUUUCUCUAACACCUUAAAGGGACCAGCAGCACGUGGCAUUAACUUUGAUUUGCGCAAAUCAGGAAAUCUAUCCUUACGCAAAUGUAACCAAACAAGAUCUCCAGGUGCAAACACAACAUGUUUUCUACCCUUAUCUCCAGCAAGUUUAUAUUUAGCAUUCAUGCGCUCAAUGUUUUCCUUAGUUAACUCAUGCAUUUUUAAAAUCAAUUCAGCACGUUGUUUAGCAUCAAAAUGAACCUUCUCCGAAGAUGGAAGAGGCAACAAAUCAAUAGGUGCACGAGGUAGGAAACCAUACACAACUUCAAAAGGGCACAUCUUAGUAGUAGAAUGCAAUGAACGAUUAUAAGCAAAUUCAAUAUGAGGCAAGCAUUCCUCCCACAUUUUCUUAUUAUUCUUCAAAACAGCCCUAAGCAUAGUAGACAACGUUCUAUUGACUACUUCAGUUUGUCCAUCAGUUUGGGGGUGACAAGUAGUACUAAAAAGCAGUUUAGUCCCCAACUUAGCCCAUAAACAUCUCCAAAAGUGGCUAAGAAAUUUAGUAUCACGAUCUGAAACAAUAGUAUUUGGCACACCAUGCAAGCGAAUAAUUUCACGAAAGAACAAAUCAGCAACAUUAACAGCAUCAUCGCUUUUAUGACAUGGUAUAAAGUGUGCCAUUUUCGAGAAUCUAUCCACGACAACAAAAAUGCUAUCCCUCCCCUUCUUUGUUCGAGGUAAACCUAAAACAAAGUCCAUAGAUAUAUCCUCCCAAGGAACACUAGGUACAGGCAAAGGCAUAUAUAAACCAUGAGGAUUGAGUCGUGACUUAGCUUUUUGACAUGUAGUGCAGCGAGCAAUAAAACGCUCAACAUCCCGUCUCAUCUUUGGCCAAAAGAAAUGUGUAGCAAGUACGUCCUCCGUCUUCUUCACGCCAAAGUGUCCCAUUAAUCCUCCUCCAUGCGCCUCCUGCAACAACAAAAGACGAACGGAGCUAGCUGGAAUGCAUAGCUUGUUAGCACGAAACACAAAUCCAUCGUUAACAACAAACUUGUUCCACAUUCUUCCUUGAUAGAGGCAAAGGUGUCCCGUCUUUCGAUGAGAUGGUGGAUUUCGCUUUGGUGGAAGUCGACUUUGACGAUCCGACUACGAACGUGCGAGGACGUCGCGCCUUAGCAAUCGCUAAACCAACUCCGAGAGGUUAUUGACCACGCCGGAGCACGAUCAACCUGACCACGAGGGUCUGUUUCCUGCGAGCAAACGAAGAACAAGCAAGAAACUAAGAUUGCAAUCUGGAUAUUGCGAAUAUAAGAUGAAAGCUUUAUUGAUCAAGGUGGGGUUCUGUGACGCCUUUGUCUGGUCGUUGAACGCAAACGAAGUACGCGAAGUUGCAGCUAUGGCGAACUUUUAAUCUAAACAAAACCCAAAGUCUAAACGAUGCCCUAAGGGCUGUAUAUAUGGAGGAAGAGGGGGGUAAUUUCGUGGCCCUUGGUGGAGGAGUCCGAAAUCAACCCUAUCUCUUGUUUCCCCACACAUACGGACUCUAAAAAUAGCCUAUACUUAUGUGUUUCGAAAUUACAUGGGCCUGGCCCAAUAAUAAGGUGACGCAGCACCUAAAAUAGCCUCGGGACGAGAUUUAUGAAGUGGCAUCUUGUAUAUUUCGUCCAAGGCUUCAUGCACCCAUUAUGGUGGCUUCAAAGUCCUGAAAUCAUCACUUGUAACUCCGUUCUUGUUCCCCUUGCGCAUGCCAUCAUCUCCAUGCUUGUUCUUGCUCCAAUGUUCAUCCUUCUCCAAGCUAGGCCCUUCAUUUGUAAGCAAAACAAAUGUAUCCAAUUUAGGCAGCAUCAUAUUCUCAUGAACAUUAGAAUCAUUACCAAGAAACGAAAGUACCUGGUAAUUUAGUUGGCGUGCACGAGCUCUAGUAAUUGGUCCAGUAUGUAUAGCAGCAGGGGCUAUGGGUGUAACAAUUGUAUUGAUGUCCUCAUCAUCCUCCCCUUCUUGAAAUGAAGUCGUCCUCGACGGAAGUCCAUCUUCCUCACCCAAAUAAGGCUUCAAAUCUGCAAUGUUAAAAGUGGGACUAACCCCAAAAUCUGCAGGCAGCUCAAGUUUAUAUGCAUUAUCAUUUAUUUUCUCUAACACCUUAAAGGGACCAUCAGCACGUGGCAUUAGCUUUGAUUUGCGCAAAUCAGGAAAUCUAUCCUUACGCAAAUGUAACCAAACAAGAUCUCCAGGUGCAAACACAACAUGUUUUCUACCCUUAUCUCCAUCAAGUUUAUAUUUAGCAUUAAUACGCUCAAUGUUUUCCUUAGUUAACUCAUGCAUUUUUAAAAUCAAUUCAGCACGUUGUUUAGCAUCAAAAUUAACCUUCUCCGAAGAUGGAAGAGGCAACAAAUCAAUAGGUGCACGAGGUAGGAAACCAUACACAACUUCAAAAGGGCACAUCUUAGUAGUAGAAUGCAAUGAACGAUUAUAAGCAAAUUCAAUAUGAGGCAAGCAUUCCUCCCACAUUUUCUUAUUAUUCUUCAAAACAGCCCUAAGCAUAGUAGACAACGUUCUAUUGACUACUUCAGUUUGUCCAUCAGUUUGGGGGUGACAAGUAGUACUAAAAAGCAGUUUAGUCCCCAACUUAGCCCAUAAACAUCUCCAAAAGUGGCUAAGAAAUUUAGUAUCACGAUCUGAAACAAUAGUAUUUGGCACACCAUGCAAGCGAAUAAUUUCACGAAAGAACAAAUCAGCAACAUUAACAGCAUCAUCGCUUUUAUGACAUCGAUCAGAAUAGCGCCCCUCGACGACAUUCAGCCCACUUAGCACGAGACAUUGUGGUAACAGAUAUCAAACGGCCAGGAUUGGCUAGAUCAUAAAAACGGAUGUCUCCCGAUGCCAAUAGCCCGAGGGGGCUGGAAGGGAGUUUUAAUAUCUUUAAAUAUACAGGGUUGCUAAUUUAGAACCUUUAUGCCUACUAAUAGAUGCUAGGACUAUUAUUCCCUUGGUGUGUUGGAUUUUAGUAAUUCCUACCCUUCCUUGCUUGUUAUUAGUGGAGUACUCCCACCGUCACAUAAUAUAAAAGCGUUUUUUUACACUAGUGUAGUAUCAAAAACGCUCUUAUAUUAUGGGAUGGAGGGAGUAUAUGUUUAUGCUUUUUCUUCUUUGUCUUGAUCUGGGUAGGGCCUAGGGCUGUUAUUCCUUUGUGCAUGGACCUUGAUGUUUUUGUUCUUUUCCUUGCUUUAUUUUUUGUUUCUUUCACUGGUGGGAAAUGGCUAGCCACAACUUAUGUUGGUGCACGUCAUUUUUCAUCAACGCGGCUUCGGCUUAUUUCGUACGUCAUCACUAUGAGCUUAGUGUUGGCGUAGGAAUUCUACAGAAUGCCACUUGUGUGUGAGGCCCAUUGAUACUGAGCAUCCCACAAUCAUCCCCAUGGAUGUAUCUACAUCUUCCACAACACCACUUGGACCAAUGACAAGAGCUCGAGCAAAAGCUAUCGAAGAUAAGGUGAACUCGCUCCUCUCCGAACUCCCAUUUUCUACACCUGAGACAUGGCUACUACCUCAAGCGGAAACACUAUGUGUCAUCAGGUACUUGGAGGAAGGCCACGGAGCAGCUACAUCCAAUGGUCAAGACGGCGAGGACACCGAGUACGAAGGACAAGAAGAAGAGCUACUGAAGAAGCUCCAGCGAGCGGACGUUCGCCCAGGACCGGACGUCCGGCACCUGACGCUCUAGCCAGCGGAUGCCCGACCAGGAUGGGACGUCCGACGUCUGAAGGCCCAUCCGAGCCAAGUCCCAGCCUACGAAAGCUACAGCGAGCGGACGCCCGCCCAGGACCGGACGUCCGGCGACACUUCCCAGUGAGCGGAUGUCCGACGACACUUCCCAGCAAGCAGACGUCUGACCCCCACUAGGCGACCGGCAAUUCCACACCCGAAGCAUUUCAGUGGAAAUCUGACGCCUCCAGACGACCGGCGACCGGACGACCGAUAGUCUCCGGACGUCCAGUACCACUGUUACAGAAUGAAAUUAGCGGAAGUCCGAGCCCUGUCGGAUGUCCGAACCUUCGCAAGCGACUGGACGACCGGUAGAGACCGGUCGUCCGCUGCUUGCUUGUGCGCAACUUCGGGCCCGAGGCCCAUGUACCCUUUCAUUCUGUCCCCUUUUGCACUUAGACUAUAAAUAGACCUCCUCCUUCUCCUCCUAGUCAGGGUUAGCAAAGGAUUAGCUCAUAUUUGUGUGAGAGCUUUGCUCAUCCACUUGGUUACUUCUCCAUUGGAGUUCACGAUCUUUUUGGAGAAGAUCCCCCAGGCGGAUUCAAGACCCCAUCACGGGAAGACCCUUCAAGACCUCCUCAUGAAGAAGACCUUUUGUAUCGUCCCUUGUUGACUUUGAAUGGUGUAUCACCCUUUGUGUUUCGAGGAUCUAGCAUAUGUGUGACCAAAUCUUGUUGGUUGAGUGAUUUCUCUCGUGUUUCCCCUCGUGAUCUCUCCUCGUGUUCUUCGUAGGAUCCUCUCCAAUCGUGAAAGAUCGGGCAUCUAGGGUUCUACCCUACAUCAUCUUGGUAUUAGAGCUACGUUGAUCAUGUAUUUGGAGGCCCCACCCUUUUGUUUUCUAGCUUGAUUUUGUUGUGUUCUUCCCCAAUUUCGAGAAUCCCCACCAAAAAACAACCCCAAUUUUUUUUGUGAUUUGUUGGUGUGAUGAAGUUUUGUUGGAUUUGAUCCAUGGAUUUGCUUUGCCACGAGUGGAUCUAGCUUUCCCCCACCAUCUCCACCAUUUCAAAUCACAAAAUCACUCGGAUUUGACCAAAUUCGCCACCUCCACCACGAACCCUAGUUGUUCAUCCCGUGCCUGAAAUCGCCCAGGCACCGGACGUCCGUUAGCCACCGGACGUCCGACGAUCGGACGACCGCUCCCCGACCGGACGUCCGUUGAUCCCUGAUGAAACUAAAAAAAAUUAGUUCAGCCACCACCACCUUUCCACCUUCCACCAUCGCAUACACACUCCGAUUACACCACCGCUUUUCGCACGCACCACCAUCGCUUACCUGCUAUCAACUCUAACAAUUUUGCCAUGUUUUGGUAUUUGGGAAUUUGAGUUGUGGUUCCCGUGUCCUAUUGUGCUUUGGCUAUAUAGGAACGGUGCAACAUCAACAUCACCACCGCUCAUCUUCGCCAAGGACUCGUCAUCGCGAACAACCAUCCUUGCUUACAAACGACUACCUCGACGGUAACCUCGAUGACACCUUUGUCUAUUCCUUGCCAUUGCAUUGAUAACCACCAUAGCCCAAUUUUGCAUUGCUUUCCCAUCGAGACUAGCCUUUGAGUAUUGCCGGCAACGUGACUUGUGCAUAUUAGUAAUCAUACUUCCCAUAGCACACAUACCAUAUCAUCGUGGUGCAUAUCUUGGUAUCAUCUCUUGUGUCACAAAGUUGUCAUCGCAUACACAAUUGCUAUCUUGGUUCGUGAAGUUUUGCAUGAGGAAAGAGCUCAAAAGUGAAAGAGCCAAACAAGUUUUUAAGCAAGAGGGGAAGAUAAGCAAAGAGCUUAUAAGCAAGAACCAUAGCAUCAUACUACAUUAAGAUUGUCAUACUCGAUCAUCUUGGAUCAUAUCACCAAAAUAUCAUACAUAUAACAUACUUGGGAUAGUCGUUGCAUUUUUGCCUAGUAGGUUGUGCACAAGUUUCGUAUCUGCCUAUUGUGCAAUCGUGCUAGCGUCUCUCUAGUGUUGUGCAACAAGAGCAUUUUCAUGGAUUCCACAUUUUGGCUCAUUACUUGGUUGCACGCCCCCAUCUAUCUAUUCGCGUGUGUGUUCCCGUGUACCAUAUCUUGCUAUUGCUCUACUUGUCGCAUUUGCAAAUUUGUGAAUCUUUUCCAACAUUAUUGAGGCUCACUAACAAUUGCAUCAAAUUUUGUGCCACCAUCCUAACUGAGCUCCACCAUAAGCUUUUACUUGUGUAGGUGUGAGAACCGACAAGAAUUGGUACCAAUUGUGCUAUUUCCUUGUUCCACAUUUGAGUGAUCAUUGAUCCAUCUUCAACAUCGGUCAAGGUACAUUUGGUAUAAGUUCUUCUCUUUCUCCCACUCACAUAUUUGCUUGGAAUGAUGGAUAGGCCAAGUUCUUGUACCAACUCAUUCUUCAUCGAGCAAGACGAUGACAUGUCAUCCUAUGUCACCAAGAGCCACCUCCUCGGUGCACAAAGAGCUUUGCAUCAAGAACAACAAGCAAUGAGCGACAACAUCGACAAUCUCACCACCGACUUGCGACUCUCCGAGCAACGAACAAGAGACUACUUCGACAACAAGCUCGACGCACACAAACAAGAGAACGAUACAAGAAUGGACAAGAUUCGUGCCUUGUUGGUAAACCGCCCUUCUACCACUUCGUCCUACUCAAUACGGAGCCGCUCGAGUCGAUACUUCGACAACACCCUCUCCGGAUCAAGUACACCGACAUCGAACACUCUACGUCGAGCCACGCGCCAAGACCGUCAAGCAACUCGCAAUCCUCUACACGACAUUCAUCCACAAGAGCAAUUCGAUGAGCAAGCACAUCGUCAUCGCCAACAGCAAGCUACUCUUGCACAAGCACAAGAACGGCAACGUCAACGUCACCAAGAGGAAGAGCGAGCGCCCCAACACCAAGAUGAACAAGAUGCCGAGGCUCAAUGUCUUCAACAACAACAACGUGAAGCACAAGCACUUGAGGCGCAAUGUGCCCUUUGAGAGUCAAGUCGACCAUCGUCAACCGCAACCGAGACAUGCGCAAUCAAGAGGAAGCACUUCGCGAAGAAAUUCAAGAGUGAAACUACAAAGCAAGAGUGCAUCGUCAAGUUCCUCAAGCUCCUCCACAACCUCAAGUUCACCAAGAGCAUGAUGACUAUGGAAAUCCUCCAUGCCAAGAGAAAUAUGAGGUUGACAAUCAUCUGCGUCAAGGGCGUCAUCAUCACCCACGACCCCAACAUAAUGAAGAGCAACACUACGGCAAGCUCAAGUUCACUGUGCCCAAGUUCAAUGGAAGCAAUGAUCCUAAAGAGUACCUUUCCUGGGCAUUGAAGGUCGACAAGAUCUUUCGCUUGCACAACUAUGAGGAAGAGAAGAAGAACACUAUCGCAUCCCUUGAGUUCCAAGACUAUGUGCUCAUAUGGUGGGAACAAGUCCUUGAGCGUCGAGAAGCAAGAGGUGGACCACAAAUCACCACAUGGGAUGAAAUGAAAGAUGUCAUGCGAGCAUGCUUUGUGCCAACAUACUACAACCGUGACCUCUUCAAGAAACUCCAACUCCUCAAGCAAGGGACAACGAGCAUUGAAGAAUACUACAAGGAAAUGGAGAUUGCCAUGGUAAGAGCCAAUGUCACGGAAGAUGAUGAGCAAAUUAUGGCUCGUUUCUUGAAUGGCCUCAAUCAUCCCAUCAAGAAGAUUGCCGACUUCCAACUCUACUCCAGCCUCAUUGAGCUCGUGCAUCAAGCUACCAAAGCAGAAUGUCAAGUGCAAGAUGACUUCAAGUAUGCCAAGUACUCUUCCAAGAUCUAUGGCUUCUCCAACAACCAAGCUUCAAUGACUCCAACACCUGCUACCUCAGCCAAGCCAUCUACAAGCAACGCCGACAAGUCAAGUUACAAGAAAACUUUGACAACCUCAAGUCAUCCUCCUACUACAAGCAACUUCAAGCCGCGAGCUUCAUCAUCUACUCCAACCGAUGAGACCAUCAAGACAAGUUCCAUCAAGUGUUUCACAUGCGGCCGCCGAGGCCAAAAGUCCUUUGAGUGUACCAACAAGCGCACCAUGAUCCUCAACGACGAUGGAACCUAUGACUCCAUGAGUGAGGAGGAAAUGGAAGCCCUUGAGCAAGUGGCCAUGCACCCGCGCGUGAACGAAGAUGAAGAUGAUCAAGUCUUUUGUGAUGAGCAUUCGAGCACCGCUCUCGUUGUCUCCAAGGUCUUGACUCUUCAACAUCAACAAGACGAAUACCAAAGAUGCCACAUCUUCCACACCAAGGCUGGCAUCAAUGGAAGGUCCGUCAAGGUCAUCAUCAAUGUAGGGAGUUGUCAUAACUUGGCAAGUGAAGAACUAUGUUCCAAACUCCAAUUGGUCAAGAUGAAGCACCCGCACCCCUAUAAGGUUCAAUGGCUAAGUGAUUCCGGCACUAUCCAAGUCGAGCAUGCGGUGCAACUUUCUUUCAAGAUAGGAGCAUAUGAAGACACUUGGAGUGUGAUGUCGUUCCUAUGUCCGUUUGCCACCUCCUGCUUGGUUGCCCAUGGCAAUUUGACCGAGGCUCAUCCACAACGGGCGUACCAAUCACUAUAGCUUCAAGAUGAAAGGAAAGGAGUACGUGCUACAACCUAUGUCUCCAAGUCAAGUGAUCGCCGACAAGCAAGCCACCCAUCGUGGAGAAAAGAGUGAGAGAGUGACCCACCCAAAAGACAGUGAGAGCCACAAGCCAAAAUCGAGUGCCUCCAUGAUGAGCGACAAGAAGAACUUAGUUCUAUUUGCCACCAAAGGUGAGAUGAGAGAAGUGUGUGAGAACCCAUCAAGUGUUAUGCACUAUGUCCUUUUGUGCAAGGAUGAGGCACCAAAAACUAACACCUCUCACGAUCUACCUUUAGUGUUAUCUUCUCUUUUACAGGAAUUCCAAGACAUUUUCCCCGAUGAGCUACCUCCAGGACUACCACCACUACGAGGCACCGAACAUCGAAUCGACCUUGUUCCCGGAGCACCUCUACCUAACAAGGCUCCAUACCGCGUCAACCCCGAGGAAACUAAGGAGAUCCAACGGCAAGUACAACAACUCAUCGACAACGGUCAUGUACGUGAAAGCUUGAGCCCUUGUGUCGUCCCGGUAAUCCUUGUUCCUAAGAAAGAUGGCAUUUAUCGCAUGUGUUCUGAUUGCCAUCCCAUCAAUGCUAUCAGCAUUAGAUAUCGUUACCCUAUUCCACGCUUAGAUGAUAUGCUUGAUGAGCUUAGCGGAGCCACCAUCUUCUCUAAGAUUGAUCUUAAGAGUGGCUAUUAUCAAAUAGGCAUCCAAGAAGGUGAUGAAUGGAAAACCGCAUUUAAGGCCAAAUUUGGCUUAUAUGAAUGGCUUGUUAUGCCAAUGGGUUUAUCCGAAGCACCCAGUACUUUCAUGCAAGUCAUGCAUUUUGUUCUUCGACCCUAUAUUGGUGUAUUUGUUGUGGUCUAUUUUGAUGAUAUUCUUGUCUUUAGCAAAUCCCUCAAAGAUAAUGUCACCCAUCUUAGAACCGUGUUGCAAACCCUUAGGAAAGAGCGCCUUUAUGCUAAUGUGGACAAAUGCCUUUUUGGUGUUGAUAAGCUUGUUUUCUUGGUUUUGUUGUGUCUUCUAAGGGUGUUCAUGUAGAUGAAUCUAAGAUCAAUGCUAUUCAAACUUGGCCCCAACCAACCAACUUGCAACAAGUGUGUAGUUUUCUUGGUUUAGCCGGUUUCUAUCGUAGAUUUGUGAAGGAUUUUAGCACCAUUGCUUCACCAUUGCAUUCUUUGAGUAAGAAAAAUGCGCCUUUUGUUUUGGGACCAUCCCAAGAUACCGCUUUUAAUGAGCUAAAGAAUUUGCUUACUCAUGCUCCCGUGCUUGCAUUACCCAACUUUGACAAACCUUUUGAAAUUCAUUGUGAUGCUAGUGGUAACGGCAUAGGAGGUGUGUUAACGCAAGAGAAGCGCCCCAUAGCAUACUUUAGCGAGAAACUUUCUGGAGUGCAACUCAAUUAUCCCAUCUAUGACAAAGAGCUAUAUGAUUUAGUGCGAGUUUUGCGUGUAUGGGAACAUUAUCUUUGCCCUCAUGAAUUUAUCAUCCAUACCGAUCAUGAAACGCUCAAGUACUGAAAGCAUAAGUGCUCCCUGGGUGAUUUUGGUAAUUAAUGUCAACAUAUCUCUUGUUGGACUAACACUUUUACCUAGUAUGUUUCAGACAAGUUCAACAAUGGAGUGGCAUGGGCUAGAGGAUGUGGAACCCCUUCAAAAAGCUAAGGACAAAAGGAUUGGCUCAAGCUCAAAGCUCAAGACUCUACAUUUUCUAUUUUAGUGAUCCAAGAUCACAUUGAGUCUAUAGGAAAAGCCAAUACUAUCAAGAGGGGAUGAGGUGUUGCUUAAUGGCUUGCUUGCUCAAAGUGCUUAGUGAUAUGCUCCAAAGCCCCCAACUACUUUCUCACAUCCACAUAUGCCCUAAACCAAAAAGUCUAACUCGACCCUACUGAUUAUUUCUAUCCGGCGCCAUCGAGUUCAGAUGUCUUAGCCAUUGCCACAAACCCUAGGCAAAUCGGUCUCACCGAUAGGGAUCUCGGUCUCACCAAAAUGGGAUUGUAAUCUCUCUGUGUAUGUCCAUUACCAAAAUCGGUCUCAUCGAGUUUGAGAAAUCGGUACUACCGAGAUUACAAUGCAAACUCUCUGGUUAACUUAUUACCAAAAUCGGUCCCACUGAGUUUGUGUAAUCGGUCCUACCGAGUUUGCCUGACCAACUCUCUGGUUAGCUUAUUACCAAAAUCGGUCCUACCGAGUUUGUGUAAUCGGUCUCACCGAGAUUACGUUAUGCCCUAACCCUAACCAUAUCGGUUUUACCGAGUUGCAUGUCGGUCCCACCGAAAAUCCUAACGGUCACUAGAUUUGCUGAAUCGGUCCGACCGAGUUUCUCAAUUUGGUCCCACCGAGUUUGGCAAGUUGUGUGUAACGGUUAGAUUUUAUGUGGAGGCUAUAUAUACCCCUCCACCCACUCUUCAUUCGUGGAGAGAGCCAUCAGAACGAACCUACACUUCCAACUUACAUUUUCUGAGAGAGAACCACCUGCACCUGUGUUGAGACCAAGAUAUUCCAUUCCUACCAUACGAAUCUUGAUCUCUAGCCUCCCCCAAGUUGCUUUCCACUCAAAUCUUCUUUCCACCAAAUCCAAAUCCUGUGAGAGAGAGUUGAGUGUUGGGGAGACUAUCAUUUGAAGCACAACAACAAGGAGUUCAUCAUCAACACACCAUUUGUUACUUCUUGGAGAGUGGUGUCUCCUAGAUUGGCUAGGUGUCACUUGGGAGCCUCCGACAAGAUUGUGGAGUUGAACCAAGGAGUUUUUAAGGGCAAGAAGAUCGCCUACUUCGUGAAGAUCUACCGCUAGUAAGGCAAGUCCUUCGUGGGCGACGGCCAUGGUGGGAUAGACAAGGUUGCUUCUUCGUGGACCCUUCGUGGGUGGAGCCCUCAGUGGACUCGCGCAGCCGUUACCCUUCGUGGGUUGAAGUCUCCAUCAACGUGGAUGUACGAUAGCACCACCUAUCGGAACCAUGACAAAAACAUCCGUGUCUCCAAUUGCGUUUGAAUUCUCCAAUCAUACCCCUUUACAUUCUUGCAAGUUGCAUGCUUUACUUUCUGCUGCUCAUAUACUCUUUGCAUGCUUGCUUGUUAUGUAUUGUGAUUGUUAAACUUGUGCCAAAAACUCCACUCCAAAUUAAAGAAUUUAAAAACUGCAACUUUUUGUACUUAGUGUCUAAUAACCCCCCUCUAGACACCUCUUCUCGAUCCUUUCAAUUGGUAUCAGAGCUUUGGUCUCCAUUGCUUUGGUUUAAUCACCAUUGGAGGAAGAUGGAUGAGUCUACUUUGGGGAGUCUUAGACAUAGAGUGCCUAUACUUGAUGGAGAGUACUUUCAUGAGUGGAAAAAUGAGAUGCUUGUGAUUUUCAAUCAAUAUCAUUUAAACAAGUACAUUGCUAGCCCUUGUGCACCUCAUGUUGAUACUAUGCAUCCUACUCUUGAUGAGUCAAUUGACAUGAUUCACAAUCUUAGAACUGUUGAACUUAUCACUAGAGGCUUGCCUAGAAACUUGAUUGGAUGUUUGCCUACUCUUAUGUGUGCCUACACUAUAUGGAAAUUUCUUGAGGAAUGUUUUCCAGAUUACUCCUUGAAAAAUCUAGAUGAAAUUCUCUAGAAGUCUAUUGCCUUGAGUAAGAUGGAUUCCAGUGAUCCUAUGUUUAGUGAUUGUCUAUUUGAGCUUACAAACCUUAUGCGUACCAAAGGAGAUGUUGGAAUUAUUAGUGAUAUUAUUUCCGAAGCUAUAAAAAUUCAUAAACAAGAUCAUUGUCAAACUCACUCUAACGAAUCACCCUCUCUAGGAUUUGAUCCACCACAUGAUGAUGUUGAACAUGGAUACUAUGAUGAGGAUGAUGAUAGUGACUUUGAUCUUGAUGAUUGUAACGCCCUGAAUCCGAUGCGCUAGGUGUCUUCUAGUUAUUCGCCUUCGUUGCCAUGUCAUUUGCUUGCGUGUUGCAUUUUUCCAUGUCAUCAUAUGCAUUUCAUCUGCAUGUUUUUCAAAACUUGCAUCCAUUCGGGUUCCCCCGGUUCUCUCCAUUGUCCGUUCUGAGCACAAACACACUUGCACGCGCCCGUCGCACCUCUCAGACCUUGUUUCGUGAGCGGGAUAAAAAUGUUCUCGGAAUGGGAUAAAACUUGGCGUGCGGUGUUGUUUUAGAGUAGGUAGACCGCCUGUCAAUUUUUGUCGCAUUCAGAGUCCGUUUGAUGCCCCAACGGUUAACCGCGUAGCCCGAAACCCCUCUCUCUUUGCAGCCCAGCCCCUCUUCACCAUAGCCCUUGAGCCCAUCCAAACCCCCUCCAUGCUCUCGGUCAUUCGAUCAUGAUCGUGUGGGCGACAAUCGCUCUCCAUUUGGACUCUCCAAACUCCUCCUACCUAUAAAUAUGCCCUCCCCGUCCAAAUUCGCGGAUGAACCCUAGCUCCCCUCACCUCCCGCCGCCGGACGCGUCCGUCCGCGCCGGACAUGUCCGCCGGCCACGUCGCCGCCAACCACCGCUCCCGGCCACGCCAGCCGUGCCACCUCGCCUCCCCCGCAGCCUCCCAGCCGUGCCGAGCCCGUCGGGGCGCGGAUCUGGCCCGCCCCGACCGAACCGGGCCCGAAGGAGCUCGACGCCGUGCCUCGCAACCCUAGCGCGUCAUGGAGCCGCCGCCGCCAGCCUCCUCCUCCUCCGCCGCGCUCGUCCGCCACCACCGGCUGGCUCCUCCGCCGCCGACCCUCAGGCCAGUCACCGCCGCCCCCUUCUCCCUUCUCCUCUCUUCCUCUCUCUCCUUGCCCCACCUCACUCUCUC